Molecule: long non-coding RNA, 4787 nt
Filed under: Mytilus galloprovincialis (Mediterranean mussel)
Lineage: Eukaryota; Metazoa; Mollusca; Bivalvia; Mytilida; Mytilidae
Source: RNAcentral
UGAGCAUGUUUCUAACAUUUUAUUAAAAGUUUGUAGACUUUUGAAUGGAUUAAUACACAAUAAACCAUUCAUAAUAAACAUAACAACUUAUUUCAUCACAACUAGGCAAAAAAACUAUCCUGUAAUUUUAACUAUACAUUGAAAAAAAUGUAGGGAUCCUACUACAUGAUCCAUAGAAAAUUUAAUGCAGCAAUACCUCAAAAAGAUGAUAACAACAUUACACAUUCUCAAGAAACCAUAAAAAAAACAGCUAAAAUUUGCCUAGGUUAAAAGUCACAGCGAAACUAAAUUUAGCUUUAAUGAUGAAACUAUAAAUUCAAUGAAAUUUAAAUGAAUUCAUGAUGUUAAUUAUCACUCUUAGAAACAAAACAAACAAAUGAAUUAAUCACUUUUUUUGUAUGGUUAUAGAUCAUUAACAAACUCUUACAUUUUCAAGAUUUGAUCCAAAGGUUGUGGACAAGUCUACAUGCUACAAUCUGAAAUUUUAGAAUAUUUCUUUUUCAAAGAGUUACAUCAUGAUUUUAUAGAUUUGUUUUCAAAGAAUAGAACUGCCCCUAUGCACGUUUUCAGUACAUAAAGAGAGAUAAAUAUUUGAAUGAAACAUAAGUACUAUUUUCCCUAAUUUCAUCUGGAAAAACAUUUAUAAAAUAUAUCAAACAUAAAAAAAAUGCGGACUGCUACACCAUGUAAACACUAAACAAUGUUUAUUUAUACAUUUAAUAUGAGAAUGCUAAAACCUGCAAUAUUUUAUGAUAAUAUCAAAGGUUACAUAAUGCUUGUAAAAUCUUUUUAAAGAUAUCCACAAACUUUGGAUCAAAAUUCUUUUUCUGACAAAGAAGUCAACUUAUGAUCACAGCGAAAAAUAAAUAAAAUUAAAAUUUUCUUUAUAAAUAAUUUUAUAUUAAUUUUAGACAUGAUGCCAUUUUUUUUUUUAUUAUUUCACUAUCACAGAACAAUCUAUUCAACAAAAUUAAUCAACAAUAACAAAAUCAAGCCAUGGAGUUAUUUCCCUUUCCUUUCAUUAUGGUAAAUAUUACCUCCCCUUAUGCCAUUGUCAAAAGGGAUGUAGAAUCAACCAAGAGGUAGAUAUUUCGGUUCAGAAACAUAAUUUAAAAAAGGGCAUACCUCGGGCACAAAAUAUAGUUUUACUAAAGUUUGCUAAAACUGGUUCAUGUUUCACUGACAUGUAAAUCAGUAAUGUUGUCCAAUUAAUUGGGCUAAAAAUUCCUGGAGUGGACCAGCUAGAAAUAAAAACAUUAAAAGGAAGUGGUAUAACGUGUGAAUCUUCUCAUAAAUUAUAUCUAACAGUUGAGGGUUAUCUCUUUCAACAACUUAAAAUUAAAAAAACGAAAUAAAGAAACAAGAAAAUGAACCAACUAAACAAACUAUACUUUCUGUCCAAAGUCAGCCAAGCAAAAGAAAAAAAAAUCAUUAUAAGCUGAUUAGUUAUGAUUCUCAUUCAAACUGAAAGUAGGCUUAUUAGAACAAAUCUUCAAGUUGAAAUAUCCUCAUACAAUUAAUUUUUUUACAGCUUUAAGUAUGUUUUUUUUUUUCGAAGUAACAAAAUUAGAUAUCACAAUAUUUCAGAUUGUUUAGCUGAUUGAAUACAUUAAACUUUCUUGUUUUAAAAAUUUUAAUUUGUGAAUUUAUUACAGUAAACUUAACAAAUAUCUGGUAUUUACUGAAUUGCAAAACAUUUAGCAGUAAUGAAUGACAUUGUUUACAAGUUUGUAUGCAAGUGGUACCACCUCCUUGAAAGGGGCUUGUGUGGGGUUUUCAUCUUCUAGUUUUCAUAAUUGUAUAAUCCGUACACAAAAUUACCAAAAAGGAAAUAAAAAUGGUAGUCAAAUCACAGCACCAAAUGAAGAAGUACUAUUAACCAAAAACAGUCGAUGAAUUCAUGAAAAAUGACUCGGUAAAAACAUAAGUGAAUUAGGCUGCAAUAUUCUAAUCUAAUUAAAAAUUCUUUUAUUGUAAAAAGACAUGCAUGAAUAUUGUAGCACUGGUAAAAAUUUGACGUACAACUGGAUGGACGAAUAGCAGCAGAUUCAGUAUAUUGAGCCAGUCAUUCAAAGAACAUUAAAAAUUAGGUUAAAUAUAUACUAAUAUAUGUAUAAUAUAUAUAUAAAUCUUAUAUAUAAAUAGUACAUUUCUCUAAGACAAAUAUAUUACAAUAUAAUAUUCAAUAGAAUGUACAUCACCGUUAUACACUCAAUAGAUACCUAUAAAUUAGUUACCGGUGUUAGCUAAUAAGAUACAUGUAAAAAAUGGUUGUCAAUGACAGGACCGGGUAGGGUGGGAAAAGAUAUUCUUUUCAAUAUUGAUGUUUGGGUAUAACCGGCAAAUUUGUUUCUGACAUGAUUGUGAAACCGCCACAACUGUUGAUUAAUAGAAAUAAACACUGUGGUGAAAAUGACAUUGUUCCAUUAUCUUGCUUUAACAACCAAUAUGGAAUUAUAUAUGAAUUUUCUACAUCAAGACUCAAUCCAUGAAACAUUACAAGAUCUACCAUUAUACAAUGUUAUACAUUGCAAAAAUUUACCUAAAAAUUUCAAACCUUGACAUGAAAAUAUGUUAUAAUGAAUUUAAUUGGUACACUCACCCCAAUGUUUUUUUAGGUAACAAAUAUUUAAUGGAGCCACAGUUACAUAUUGAAAAGUUUGAAUCAUUUUCAUACAAUAUUUUUCUAAAACUAAAAUAUGUAUGUUGUAUACCCUGUAUCCAUGGUAAUACUGUAGGUACCCAAAGACAAAAUGUACACUGUAUAUCACAUCUAGACUAGAGAUCAGAGACCUGUAACCAUGCCAACGGCUAUUACAGUAAGAUUUGUUUUCUCACUUACAGUGAAACUUUAAAUAUUGAGACAGUACUUUUGUUCAUGGGUUAUAAAUUUUAUGGAUUUUAAUGCAAAUCAAAAUCUAAGAAUGUGCAACAAAAUAAAUAUCUUCUCAUUUGUAACUUUGUUUGGGCCUGAAACCAAAAAGAUACCUACAAACUAUAAUGAUAUUUCAACCAAUAUCUAAAAAUCUAUAACCAGGAAUAAAAGUACUGUCACGUUUAAUUUAUAAAAGAUGUAGAAUUUUAGUCUAAAACUUUCUCUUUUAUUUUUCUUUUAACUGAUGUUGAAAAAGGUACCAAACAUUGAAUAUAACUAAUAUUUACAAUUUGUUUCAAAAAGAAAUUAGACAUAAAUAGAUAUGAUGUAAUGAAAUGUUAACAAGUAAAUGAUAUUUCUCAAAUUUAAUACUGAUAUAAACACCAUGUCUGCGUCUAACAACAAUAACUACUCUUCUAUGGAGACUUCCUUAUAAUCUUGGUACCUUUGAUAACUAAUUAUACAAUAUGACACGCUUACAUUCAUAUGUAAAUAUAAUGAAUGUCGAAAAGAUCUUCUUUAUAAUUCAUGAAAUACUGCACAACCAUACUAUUUAUAUUCUUAAAUCAUGGUUUAAAAAAAGAAUACUAGUAUUGAAAGUACUUUUUGUUUUGUGUGUGUAAAAUUUACAAAAUUAUAAUGAAAUUUUAUGAAAUUUAAACUGCAGAUUGAGAAUACUUGACUACAUACACUUUUGUUUAUUUGUUGAAUGCAAUGCUUUAUAAUUGUGUCACUUACGUUACUUCUAUGGUUUAUUGUAACAUGUGAGGUAGUGUAAUACUGAUUCAGUGGCGGAUUCCAGGCGGGGGGGGGGGUUCUGGGUCGACCCCUUUUUUUGGCCGAUCAAUGCUUUUGAAUGGGGACAUAUAGUUGGAACCCCCCUUUGUCCUGGGUUGGGAACCCCCCCUUUUUAAAAUGGCUGGAUCUACCACUGUGAUUUGAUAUAACAGUAUCAUGUUGGCAUAAUCAGCAGUUUCUUCAAGACUCCAUUGAUAAAAAAACAGAAAAAUUUCUUUCUCAAAAUAAUUUUAAAGAUAAAAUGUUCUACCAAUUUGAUCCUUGUGGUAUCAGGAAAUUGACAAAUCAAAACAAAAGGUUGAUCUGUCUGUCUCACCCUUAAAAGAAAAAUACUGUUAAAGCUUUGAUUGGACUAAAUAAACGAUUUCUUUAAAAGGGAAGAAAGGUUUUUAGAAACGCCUCAUAAGUCUUAAAGCUAGACAAGAUAAAUCAGACACGCUUUCAAUUUUUCUUUUAAGUUACUGUAUUUUAUACCAGUGCAUACUGCCAGUAAAUUUCCUUUUGAAAACAAAUUUGCUAUCAUAUUGAAAUUUGAGAGAGCAUCCCAUGAGAGAACAUCCCAAAUUAUCAAAUCUUAGAUAAUCAGGUUGAAGAAAAUAUAUUUUUGGAUACCUCAUCUCUCCCUUCAACAGUGAUUUAAAAGACAUAACAAAAUAUCUAACAAUCAGUAGAUCUUGAUUUAAUGUUCAUAUGACAAUGAUUAGAUUUUGUGGUUUUGUCUAUUUCUCAGAUACUAAUAUUAUCAAUAAAGCCAUUGUGUUCGGUGUAUGGAAUGAUUGUAAGGUGAACAUGUCCAACUGGCAGAUUUUAUCUGACCUUGACCUUAUUUUCAUGAUUCAUUAGACAGUGUUAAGUUUCUAUGGUUUGGUCUAUUUCUCAGAUACUAUAAGCAAAAGGUCAGCUAUAUUUGGGGUAUGGACCCGGUUUGAGGUUAUUGAAUAUAAAGGGACAUGAUAGAUUCAGCUUGACAAAACUUGUCAAAAGAGGAAAAGUUGAAAGUUUUAUUGAGUUAGCACAUUUUUACAAUGUAAACAGAUCGUAACUUUUUCCACUGCAUUUAUUUCUUUAGAGAUAAUAACACACAAUCAAAUAAAGCAUUGUCCCAUUCUGUUCA